CUGACUGAAUUAAUAAAUGUGAACGGAUUAACCAGCAGCCUCGCCAGACAUCAAAGCAUGGCAUUACAGCCCCAGUCAUCAGCAGCCCGGAGGCAUUAUGAGUUAAAUGUUUUUGGCCUUUGUAUACAGAAUGGCAGGCAUAUGUAAUGGUUGUAAUAAAUACACUAUGCCCCUUCACAACCGCUUGACAUAUGAAUGUUUUUUUUUUACAGUUUUCCUUUAGGUGUGCAGCAUGCAGACAGACUGAGACGAUGGCUGGUGAACAUAAGACGACAAGACUGGGAGCCCAGCAAGUCAUCUCAUCUCUGUAGUCUUCAUUUUGAAGACCAUGAAUUCACCCUUGAUACCUAUGGGAAUCGUCUGACUUGCACUGCAGUACCAACUGUGUUCUCCCUUCCUGACCACCUGGUGAAGAGACCUGCUAGUAGAAAGGCAAGUGGUUAUUUUCUUAUCCUUUCUUUGUCAAGUGCUGCAAAUGAGAAGGAAUGUGAAAUGGUGGCUGCUAAUACAUCAGAUCAAAAUGUGGCUUGUCAGUAGUGAGCAGUUACAUUUUUGUGUCACCCAAGACAUUAAAACGAAAGAAUGAUGUCAUGGUUGAGAUUGUGGAGAAAUAUUAAAAGAGGAUGAGAAAGUAAGACGUGUAAAGUAAGUUUCAUGGCAUAACACAAACUUAGAACUUUUUUUUUAUGUGUUGUCUGUAAUGCUAUACAACUGUAAUACCUCCUGGAAGUUUUGAUUUUAUUUAUGUUUUUUCACAUGGCGGUGGUGGUGCAGGAAGGGGGUAUUUUGUCUUCCGCCUCCCUCCUGCACCACCACCACCAUCACCAGAGCUGAAGGUCCACGCCACCAUCGCCAGAGCUGAAGGUCUACACCACCACCAUCACCAGAGCUGAAGGUCCACGCCACCAUCGCCAGAGCUGAAGGUCUACACCACCACCAUCACCAGAGCUGAAGGUCUACGCCACCAUCGCCAGAGCUGAAGGUCUACACCACCACCAUCACCAGAGCUGAAGGUCUACGCCACCAUCGCCAGAGCUCAAGGUCUACAACGCUGCUGCCACCAGAGCUGAAAUCUCUCUAAGUUAAUGACUAACCCCCCCUCACCCCUUGGCAAACACAAUAAAACAUGGUCAUUUGUGGAUA
Molecule: long non-coding RNA, 1143 nt
Organism: Sardina pilchardus (European sardine)
Lineage: Eukaryota; Metazoa; Chordata; Actinopteri; Clupeiformes; Clupeidae
Exons: 2
Source: RefSeq, a predicted model, not a curated record